This 641-nucleotide unclassified non-coding RNA is filed under the name Hevea brasiliensis (rubber tree). Lineage: Eukaryota; Viridiplantae; Streptophyta; Magnoliopsida; Malpighiales; Euphorbiaceae. The record is from RNAcentral.
CCUUUAAAUCCCUGGCCUCCUACAAUGUCUACUAAUCCCAAUCUCGGUUUUUCUGGGAUCUCUGGUGCCGCUUUCGCAGACCCCUUUCAGGUUCCUCCCGGCGGAGAUACCGGAGAACCCGGGUUUCAGUUCUCCCAGAUGGAUCACCACUCCACUGGAUUCAGGUUUUCGGAUUUCGGUGCUGGGGCUGCUGCUGAGUUCGACUCGGACGAGUGGAUGGAUAGUUUGAUGGGUGGUGGAGACUCAACGGAUAGUUCGAAUCUGCCUUCUGGUUGCGACGCGUGGCAAAAUAAUGCUGAUUUUGGUCUCUACGGUCCUGAUCCAUUCACCGCCUGCCCAACUCGUCUCAGCGGGGCUUGCUCUUCGCCCUCCGAUCUCAACAGAGUCAUCUUCUCGGAAACCCAGAAAAGCCCUAACCCACUUCAAGUCCCGGCCUGGGCUCCAUCUCCGCCACCUCCUCCUCCGCAAGCGGUUGUGAAAGACGCCAAGCCGGCCAAUCCUCCUCCACCAUCGACUCUCAAAAACGACGCAAUUGGUAUCUCUUCUAGUUCGCCAGAAAUCGAGUCAGCGCCGCCGCUCUUGAAAGCUCUGCUAGAGUGUGCUCGACUCGCCGAGUCAGAACCUGAGAAAGCAGUGAAAUC